UUCCUUGAACCGCAUGGUUCAAGGAUGAAAGACGGUUUCGUAGCUGUCACUUACAGAUGGACCCGCGGCGCAUUAGCUAGUUUAGGUGGGGUAAUGGCUCACCAAGGCGACGAUGCGUAGCCGACCUGAGAGGGUGAUCGGCCACACUGGGACUGAGACACGGCCCAGACUCCUACGGGAGGCAGCAGUAGGGAAUCUUCCGCAAUGGACGAAAGUCUGACGGAGCAACGCCGCGUGAGUGAUGAAGGUUUUCGCGAUCGUAAAGCUCUGUUGUUAGGGAAGAACAAGUGCGAGAGUAACUGCUCGCACCUUGACGGUACCUGACAACCAGAAAGCCACGGCUAACUACGUGCCAGCAGCCGCGGUAAUACGUAGGUGGCAAGCGUUGUCCGGAAUUAUUGGGCGUAAAGGGCUCGCAGGCGGUUUCUUAAGUCUGAUGUGAAAGCCCCCGGCUCAACCGGGGAGGGUCAGUUGGAAACUGGGAAACUUGAGUGCAGAAGAGGAGAGUGGAAUUCCACGUGUAGCGGUGAAAUGCGUAGAGAUGUGGAGGAACACCAGUGGCGAAAGCGACUCUCUGGUCUGUAACUGACGCU
Molecule: ribosomal RNA, 593 nt
Filed under: Bacillus pumilus
Lineage: Bacteria; Bacillati; Bacillota; Bacilli; Caryophanales; Bacillaceae
Description: bacterial SSU rRNA
Rfam family: Bacterial small subunit ribosomal RNA
Source: RNAcentral